GAUGAACGCUAGCUACAGGCUUAACACAUGCAAGUCGAGGGGAAACGGCAUUAAGUGCUUGCACUUUUUGGACGUCGACCGGCGCACGGGUGAGUAACGCGUAUCCAACCUUCCCAUGACUAAGGGAUAACCUGCCGAAAGGCAGACUAAUACCUUAUGGUCUUCACUGACGGCAUCAGAUGUGAAGUAAAGAUUUAUCGGUUAUGGAUGGGGAUGCGUCUGAUUAGCUUGUUGGCGGGGUAACGGCCCACCAAGGCAACGAUCAGUAGGGGUUCUGAGAGGAAGGUCCCCCACAUUGGAACUGAGACACGGUCCAAACUCCUACGGGAGGCAGCAGUGAGGAAUAUUAGUCAAUGGGCGAGAGCCUGAACCAGCCAAGUAGCGUGCAGGAGGACGGCCCUAUGGGUUGUAAACUGCUUUUGUAUGGGGAUAAAGUCAAUCACGUGUGAUUGUUUGCAGGUACCAUACGAAUAAGGACCGGCUAAUUCCGUG
This 492-nucleotide ribosomal RNA is filed under the name uncultured bacterium. RNAcentral's name for it is "partial 16S ribosomal RNA". It matches the Rfam family "Bacterial small subunit ribosomal RNA", at positions 28 to 507 of the family's 1533-position model. The record is from RNAcentral.